This 93-nucleotide ribosomal RNA is filed under the name Salmonella enterica subsp. enterica serovar Infantis str. CVM N42459. RNAcentral describes it as "partial 16S ribosomal RNA". It matches the Rfam family "Bacterial small subunit ribosomal RNA", at positions 1 to 91 of the family's 1533-position model. The record is from RNAcentral. Lineage: Bacteria; Pseudomonadati; Pseudomonadota; Gammaproteobacteria; Enterobacterales; Enterobacteriaceae.
UUAAAUUGAAGAGUUUGAUCAUGGCUCAGAUUGAACGCUGGCGGCAGGCCUAACACAUGCAAGUCGAACGGUAGCACAGAGAGCUUGCUGCUU